RNAcentral lists this transfer RNA (65 nucleotides) under Dipodomys ordii (Ord's kangaroo rat). It matches the Rfam family "tRNA". From Rfam's summary of the family: Transfer RNA (tRNA) molecules are approximately 80 nucleotides in length. The record is from Rfam by way of RNAcentral. Lineage: Eukaryota; Metazoa; Chordata; Mammalia; Rodentia; Heteromyidae.
GGUAGCUUAAUGGUAGAGUGCUUGCCUUGCAUGCAUGAGGCCCUGGGUUCGAUUCCUCAGUACCA